AUUGAACGCUGGCGGCAUGCCUUACACAUGCAAGUCGAACGGCAGCACGGGUGCUUGCACCUGGUGGCGAGUGGCGAACGGGUGAGUAAUGCAUCGGAACGUACCCGGAAGUGGGGGAUAACGUAGCGAAAGUUACGCUAAUACCGCAUAUUCUGUGAGCAGGAAAGCGGGGGAUCGCAAGACCUCGCGCUUCCGGAGCGGCCGAUGUCGGAUUAGCUAGUUGGCGGGGUAAAGGCCCACCAAGGCAACGAUCCGUAGCGGGUCUGACAGGAUGAUCCGCCACACUGGGACUGAGACACGGCCCCAGACUCCUACGGGAGGCAGCAGUGGGGAAUUUUGGACAAUGGGGGCAACCCUGAUCCAGCCAUGCCGCGUGAGUGAAGAAGGCCU
RNAcentral lists this ribosomal RNA (390 nucleotides) under uncultured bacterium. RNAcentral describes it as "bacterial SSU rRNA". It matches the Rfam family "Bacterial small subunit ribosomal RNA", at positions 29 to 417 of the family's 1533-position model. The record is from RNAcentral.